RNAcentral lists this RNase P RNA (169 nucleotides) under Massilioclostridium sp. RNAcentral describes it as "partial RNase P RNA component class A". It matches the Rfam family "Bacterial RNase P class A", at positions 1 to 182 of the family's 367-position model. From Rfam's summary of the family: Ribonuclease P (RNase P) is a ubiquitous endoribonuclease, found in archaea, bacteria and eukarya as well as chloroplasts and mitochondria. Lineage: Bacteria; Bacillati; Bacillota; Clostridia; Eubacteriales; Clostridiaceae. The record is from RNAcentral.
CGAGCAGACUGUGUGGCAGCGCUGUACAAUUACGGUGAGGAAAGUCCGAGCAUCACAGAGCAGGGUACCUGCUAACGGCAGGCGGAGGCGACUCUAGGGAAAGUGCAACAGAAAGAUACCGCCGGAGCAAUCCGGUAAGGAUGGAAAGGCGAGGUAAGAGCUCACCGGA